UUGUUGGUAAGGUAAAAGCUUACCAAGGCUUCGAUCAGUAGCUGGUCUGAGAGGACGACCAGCCACACUGGGACUGAGACACGGCCCAGACUCCUACGGGAGGCAGCAGUGGGGAAUUUUGGACAAUGGGGGCAACCCUGAUCCAGCCAUGCCGCGUGAGUGAAGAAGGCCUUCGGGUUGUAAAGCUCUUUCAGCCGGAACGAAACGGUUACGGAUAACACCCGUGACUACUGACGGUACCGGAAGAAGAAGCACCGGCUAACUACGUGCCAGCAGCCGCGGUAAUACGUAGGGUGCGAGCGUUAAUCGGAAUUACUGGGCGUAAAGCGUGCGCAGGUGGUUUUGUAAGUCAGAUGUGAAAGCCCCGGGCUCAACCUGGGAACUGCGUUUGAAACUACAAGACUAGAGUGUGGCAGAGGGGGGUGGAAUUCCGCGUGUAGCAGUGAAAUGCGUAGAGAUGUGGAGGAACACCGAUGGCGAAGGCAGCCCCCUGGGUCAACACUGACGCUCAGGCACGAAAGCAUGGGGAGCAAACAGGAUUAGAUACCCUGGUAGUCCAUGCCCUAAACGAUGUCAACUAGUUGUCGGGCCUUUACGGGCUUGGUAACGUAGCUAACGCGUGAAGUUGACCGCCUGGGGAGUACGAUCGCAAGAUUAAAACUCAAAUGAAUUGACGGGGACCCGCACAAGCGGUGGAUUAUGUGGAUUAAUUCGAUGCAACGCGAAAAACCUUACCUACCCUUGACAUGUAUCGAAGCCCGCAGAAAAGCGGGGGUGCCCGAAAGGGAACGAUAACACAGGUGCUGCAUGGCUGUCGUCAGCUCGUGUCGUGAGAUGUUGGGUUAAGUCCCGCAACGAGCGCAACCCUUGUCAUUAAUUGCCAUCACUUAGUUGGGCACUUUAAUGAGACUGCCGG
Molecule: ribosomal RNA, 916 nt
Filed under: uncultured bacterium
Lineage: Bacteria
Description: bacterial SSU rRNA
Rfam family: Bacterial small subunit ribosomal RNA
Source: RNAcentral